Molecule: ribosomal RNA, 438 nt
Filed under: uncultured bacterium
Lineage: Bacteria
Description: partial 16S ribosomal RNA
Rfam family: Bacterial small subunit ribosomal RNA
Source: RNAcentral
CUACGGGGCGCACCAGUGAGGAAUAUUGCACAAUGGGGGGAACCCUGAUGCAGCAACGCCGCGUGGAGGAUGACGCAUUUCGGUGUGUAAACUCCUUUUAUAUGUCAAGAAAAUGACGGUAGCAUAUGAAUAAGCACCGGCUAACUCCGUGCCAGCAGCCGCGGUAAUAGGAGGGUGCAAGCGUUACUCGGAAUCACUGGGCGUAAAGGACGCGUAGGCGGGUUGGAAAGUCAGGUGUGAAAUCCUACAGCUUAACUGUAGAACUGCACUUGAAACUUCUAAUCUAGAGUAUGGGAGGGGGAGAUGGAAUUAGUGGUGUAGGGGUAAAAUCCGUAGAUAUCACUAGGAAUACCUAAAGCGAAGGCGAUCUCCUGGAACAUUACCGACGCUAAGGCGUGAAAGCGUGGGGAGCAAACAGGAUUAGAUACCCCUGUAGUC